UACAGAGGUCCCAAGCGUUGUUCGGAUUCACUGGGCGUAAAGGGCGCGUAGGCGGCUUUGCAAGUGGCGGGUGAAAUCCCUCGGCUUAACCGAGGAACUGCCUGCCAGACUGUGAGGCUUGAGACCGGGAGAGGUGAGUGGAAUUCCCAGUGUAGCGGUGAAAUGCGUAGAUAUUGGGAGGAACACCAGUGGCGAAGGCGGCUCACUGGACCGGAACUGACGCUGAGGCGCGAAAGCGUGGGGAGCAAACAGG
Molecule: ribosomal RNA, 253 nt
Filed under: uncultured bacterium
Lineage: Bacteria
Description: partial 16S ribosomal RNA
Rfam family: Bacterial small subunit ribosomal RNA
Source: RNAcentral